Molecule: ribosomal RNA, 255 nt
Filed under: uncultured bacterium
Lineage: Bacteria
Description: partial 16S ribosomal RNA
Rfam family: Bacterial small subunit ribosomal RNA
Source: RNAcentral
UACGUAGGGUGCGAGCGUUGUCCGGAAUUAUUGGGCGUAAAGAGCUCGUAGGCGGUGUGUCGCGUCGGCCGUGAAAACCUGGGGCUUAACUCUGGGCGUGCGGUCGAUACGGGCAUCACUAGAGUUCGGCAGGGGAGACUGGAAUUCCUGGUGUAGCGGUGGAAUGCGCAGAUAUCAGGAGGAACACCGAUGGCGAAGGCAGGUCACUGGGCCGCAACUGACGCUGAGGAGCGAAAGCAUGGGGAGCGAACAGGA